Molecule: small nucleolar RNA, 89 nt
Filed under: Medicago truncatula (barrel medic)
Lineage: Eukaryota; Viridiplantae; Streptophyta; Magnoliopsida; Fabales; Fabaceae
Description: Small nucleolar RNA snoR27
Rfam family: Small nucleolar RNA snoR27
Source: Rfam by way of RNAcentral
UAUGGAUCUGUGAUGUUAUUUAAUACUGCGUUAUCUAUCUGAAACCUCACUAGAGGAUUUGAGGAGAAUUUAGUUUACUGAGAUCCAAA